Oryza sativa Japonica Group (Japanese rice) is the source of this 1224-nucleotide non-coding RNA. Lineage: Eukaryota; Viridiplantae; Streptophyta; Magnoliopsida; Poales; Poaceae. The record is from RefSeq and is a predicted model, not a curated record.
ACCUAUAUCAAAGUGUGUACUGGUCGGUCAGAGUAAUUUGGAGCCACUGCUAUAUAAAGCCUCUCAGAGCCUUCUUCUUCCUCUCAUAUCUCUCUCUCUCUCUCUCUCUCUCUCUCUCUCUCUCUCUCUCUCGUGUGUGUGUGUGUGUGUGUGAAUUUUGGCUGUGUUUAGUUCAGUACAAAGUUUGGAUUUUGGUUGAAAUUAGAGAUGAUGUGACUGAAAAGUUGUGUGUGUAUGACAGGUUGAUGUAAUGGAAAAGGACUGAAGUUUGGAUCCAAACUUUAGAUCUAAACACAGCCUUGAUUGUUGAGGUGCAACCAUUAGGAGCUGAAGCUGCCAGCAUGAUCUGAUGAGUGCUUAUUAGGUGAGGGCAGAAUUGACUGCCAAAACAAAGAUCAGAUCAUGCUGUGCAGUUUCAUCUGCUUGUGGCUGCACAAAAUUAAAGGGCCAGAUUGUAUUCAUAUAUAUAUGUUGGUGUGAGGCUUACAUGCAAAUUUAUAUAUUCUUCUGUGUGCAGAUUUUAAUCUUGCAGGAUCGAUCAAAUCUUAGAUGUUUUGUUUGGGAGCUGAGCAUCCAUGAAUUAAUUGGAGAUCAAAUGAGCAAGAGUCAAGAACUGAGGAUGAAACAGGUGUGAAGAUCACAUGAGCUAGCAAGCCAAGAUCUGAAGAUGAACAGGUGUGAGAGACUAAUAAGGAGUUCUUUCUUUGCAUCAUCAACAUAUAUAAUGAAUGGUUAUUAUCUAAAAAUAUAUAUAUAAUGAAUGGUGUUGUAGGGUGUUCUUGCUAGCUUAGCAUGUUCAGGAGAAGCUAGCUAGCUAUAUGGAGCCAAUUAAUUAUCAUCAGUCUGGAGCAGCCAGCUAGACAAAUCUUGGGUCUGAUCUCUGCAAGCUUUUGAUGCUAGCCAGGAUAAUGAGAAGUAACAAAGUCAUAAAUAAAUACUAAUCUUGCAAAUUUCUCUCUUGUUUUUAUCUCAUACUAUAGUAUACAAGAUUGCAACUUGCAAGGUUUGUGAUAUGCAUGGCGAAGUGAACCGCAGAUAUUUUAUCUUACUGAAAUUAUUACGAGUACCGCCUGAAUGACAUGUGGGACCAGUCCACACUAUCGUCGUCACUACGGAUGUAUUAGUUGGGCAAAUUAUGAUUGUGUAAUUAUAUUACUUUAUCUCUCUUUAGAUAUAUUUUUUGAGACCAGAUUACACUAAUGUAUGACCAGAUUUGACGAUACA